Molecule: ribosomal RNA, 548 nt
Filed under: uncultured Planctomycetaceae bacterium
Lineage: Bacteria; Pseudomonadati; Planctomycetota; Planctomycetia; Planctomycetales; Planctomycetaceae
Description: bacterial SSU rRNA
Rfam family: Bacterial small subunit ribosomal RNA
Source: RNAcentral
ACUCGAGCGGCGAAAGGGAUAGUACACGUAGGUACCUACCCUCAGGACUGGGAUAGCUACGGGAAACUGUAGGUAAUACCAGAUAAUGUUUCCGAACCAAAGGUGUGAUUCCGCCUGAGGAGGGGCCUGCGUCCUAUUAGCUAGUUGGUGAGGUAACGGCCCACCAAGGCUGAGAUGGGUAGCGGGUGUGAGAGCAUGACCCGCAUCAUUGGGACUGAGACACUGCCCAGACACCUACGGGUGGCUGCAGUCGAGAAUCUCGGCAAUGGGCGCAAGCCUGACCGAGCGACGCCGCGUGCGGGAUGAAGGCCCUCGGGUUGUAAACCGCUGUCAGGGGGGAGGAAAUUCCAGGGGGUUCUCCCCUUGGUUUGACCUAUCCCCAGAGGAAGUACGGGCUAAGUUCGUGCCAGCAGCCGCGGUAAGACGAACCGUACGAACGUUAUUCGGAAUCACUGGGCUUAAAGGGUGCGUAGGCGGCCUUGCAAGUUGGGUGUGAAAGCCCUCGGCUCAACCGGGGAAUUGCGCCCAAAACUGCCGGGCUAGAGGGA